This is a long non-coding RNA of Ctenocephalides felis (cat flea), 172 nucleotides long. RefSeq lists it as uncharacterized. The record is from RefSeq and is a predicted model, not a curated record. The transcript is spliced from 2 exons. Lineage: Eukaryota; Metazoa; Arthropoda; Insecta; Siphonaptera; Pulicidae.
GAAUAAGAUGUCCACUCCCUUCCUGCUCCUCUGUUUUUUCUAGGUACACUGGUCUAUACGAUCAUAUUGAGUUUUAUCACAAGACUACAAUUGAAGAUUUUGAAUUGUGGAAAGCGGACAUAGAGCGGAAGCAGUUUUCGCAUUAUGUAAAAUGCAAUUCAGGAUACAAAUC